CAUAUGUGUUUUAGAAACAUCUCUUGUGUUGUAUUAUAUGAAUUACAGUUUUUAGUGUGCUCAGUUUAGAGAAUAGCAUAAAAGUAUUUGAUAAUUAAAUAUCUUGCAGAUUGGCAGUUUACUCCAUGCACCGACAGGAAUGAUAAACUGUGAUAUUCGUAAAUGGAACUGGGACACGUUCUAAAUAUACUCAGGGACAGAAUGAUGUGCAGCAAGGCUCGUCAUGGAUUUUACCAAAUACAGAACACUGCAAGGCUUGCAAAAUGAAGACCUCAGUAAAUUUUUUUCUAAAUUAUCCACUAAUGGCAGCUCACUACCUGCCCCUUGUGAUGUUAAAAGAGGCCGUUGUUCUCAUUUGUUCCAAAACAGGAAUGGCAUAUGAGGAGGCCAACAGAAGAUGCACCUCCACUGACCUCCACUGAGUGUGCACUCACAAAACGAAUAAAUUAUUAUUAUUUCUUUUGUUUGUAAUUGUAUAUUGUCAACAAGGUCAAAGGCACUUGAUCCGAUGCCAAACUUUUGCAUUUCUUUUGCUUUGUGGUAAAUUUUCUUCAGCAACAUUAACAUUGUUUAAAUUGUUUUCUUUGGAGAGUUUACAUGUACACAUGGAUCAUUUGUAUAUUAGAAUUAUAGCAUUGUUUAAUUCAACUCAUUCUUAUCAUAGAGAGGUUAUUAUAUACUGCAGGCAACGAC
This is a long non-coding RNA of Ostrea edulis (European flat oyster), 693 nucleotides long. RefSeq lists it as uncharacterized. The transcript has 4 exons. Lineage: Eukaryota; Metazoa; Mollusca; Bivalvia; Ostreida; Ostreidae. The record is from RefSeq and is a predicted model, not a curated record.